This 2931-nucleotide long non-coding RNA is filed under the name Homo sapiens (human). RNAcentral describes it as "HSALNT0170990". The record is from RNAcentral. Lineage: Eukaryota; Metazoa; Chordata; Mammalia; Primates; Hominidae.
GGCCAUCCCCAGAUGAGGCUGCAGCAUUGCCCCGUGUGCUCUCAGCUGGUGCCAGUGUUGUCUGGAACUGUCUGGACCUACCUGGAAACUGAGUACCUACAGGGUUUUGUCACUUACAGUGAUUGCCAUGGUCUGAAUGCUUGUGUCCUCCUCGAAAGAGCCUUCCAAGAUGCGGUGCCCUCCAUCAGCAUAUUGCCACGCCUUUCUCUCCCAGGAUGCAUUGCUGGGAUGGAUGAACAGGGCCAUGCGAUAAAUCCUCUAACGUUGCCACGUCUGUGCUUUUGCCUCCUUUCCUCUCCGUUGUAUGGAGGAAGUUCUGACAGCUCACUUCAUUUCACGUGGUGUGCAAGCUUCUGUCAAACAACGGAACAAACUAUGAGAACCACUUCCAGCCACUGCUUCUGCACACUUCUCUGCUAAGUGAGUCUCUGCUGUGUGAGUCUCAUUGGUAAAACUACCCUGAUCUAACAUUCUGUUACCUCCUUUGUGGUCCAACACUCCAAGAGUCCACGGCCUCAGACGCCCCUGGGUUUCUGCUGAUGUAAAUUGGCAAAAACUUGCAUUCAGUGUGUAUGUGGCUCCUCUUGGGUCUCACUGUGUGUUUAUCCCUCUGCACCCAACUCUAGUCAUGGCUCUGGGAAUAAUGAGGGUCGGUGGAGGUGGAUCUCAAGGGAGAUCUGUCAUCUUGCAAGGCUGUUUCCUCAAGUGAAGCCAUCACAGAUCUUUGGGCACAGUUUUACUCACCUCAGACUCUAAGGAAGAGUCACUUCUGCUUACAGGGAGACUCAGGAAGGUCUAAUGUUCAGGGGACUCAGAGUCAGAGAAAUCCACCCUCUCCAGUUCUCGAGGUCUCAUUCUUUCCAAAUAAAUGCCUUAACUUUGACUUAAGAGAUUUAGUAAGACAUUUAAUUAUUCUUUAGUUGUAAUUCAUUAGCCUGCAAGAUCAAAUUUGUACUCUGCAUUUAAAAAAAAAAGUUGACUCUACAGCUACAAGAACUAAAAUGGUUUUUUUAGGACAGCUAUAGAAGGGCUCUGGUUCUCUGUCUAUACCUUCAGCUGAGCACUUAAGGCCACAGCUUGUCAUUUUCUUUGUCAGUUCCCCAGUGCAAUAAGCAGCAGCCACCCCAUGCCACAUCCUUGUAUGCAUGGUUUCCAUCCACAUCCUAAUGUCCUAUUGCAAGAGCCCCCUGGUGUCUGAAACCCAGGCUUGUGAUGGGCACUGCAUCGCAGAGACCUCAAGGUAAUGAUUUUACCAGUGACAAUGUUUAUAGAUUAUCUGCAUCCUGCUUCCCACUCCUCACGUGGUCCUCACUGACAUCAGACAAAACCUGGUCUGUCCAAUUACUAACUCCAGAUUCCCAUCUUCAAGGUUCUGCCUUCCUGGAAACACUGCUGGUACCAGGAAUGGUUGGUCGGGAACACUAAAGUCACUCUAGGUAUUUUGGGUAGAAGGAGAUUCAUUGCAGGGAACUCUAGGCUUACAGAAAUGUUGAGAACUUUGGGGACUGAAGGUUAUUUCAGGAGAUCUGGAAGUGCAGGGAUAGAAGGGUAGCAUCCAUUGCCCCCUGAUAACUGUACCACUGACAUGGCUAGAAACCACCCCAGUGAUCCCAGCUGCUUGUAGCACCUCAGGGUGAUUCUCAAACUGACUCCAGAAGCCAAGGUACACUGCUGCCAAUGACUGCAGGGGCCUCUGCAAAACGGACGUUGAUGAAUGAAACAAAGUGUGAUCUACCCAUAGCAGGGAAUGUUAUUCAUCCUUAAAAAGGAAGGAAAUCCUGCAGCUCACGCCUGUCAUCCCAGCUCUUUGGGAAGCUGAGGCAGGAGAAUGGCUUGAGGCCAGGAGUUUGAGACCAGCCUGGGCAACAUAAUGAGACCCCCGUCUCUACAAAAAACAAUUUAAAAAAUUUGCUGUAGUCCCCGCUACCCAGGAGACUGAAGCAGGAGGAUAGCUUGAGCCCAGGAAGUUGAGGCUGCAGUGAGCUAUGAUCUCUCCUGUCUCUAAAAAAGAAAAAAAAUAAAAGGAAAGAAAUUAAUUCUCACACAGGCUACAAAAUGGAUGAACCUUGAGGACAUUAUGCUGAAUCAAAGAAGCCAUUCAGCAAAGGAUAAAUCCUAUAAGCUUCCCCGUAUAUGAGGAACCCAGAGCAGUGAAAUCCCCAGUGACAGGAAGUGGAUGGUGGGCACCAGGGGCUGGCAGAGAGGAUGGGAGUCAGUCUUCCAUGGGGACAGGGACAGCUUCAGUUUGGGAAGCUGAAGAAGUUCUGGAGAUGAUGAUGGUGGUGACAAGUGCACACCAACGUGAAUGUAUCAGGGACAGCUUCAGUUUGGGAACUUGAAGAAGUUCUGGAGAUGACGAUGGUGGUGACAGGUGCAUACCAACGUGAAUGUAUCAGGGACAGCUUCGGUUUGGGAAGCUGAAGAAGUUCUGGAGAUGAUGAUGGUGGUGACAGGUGCACACCAAUGUGAAUGUAUCAGGGACAGCUUCGGUUUGGGAAGCUGAAGAAGUUCUGGAGAUGAUGAUGGUGGUGACAGGUGCACACCAACGUGACUGUAUCAGGGACAGCUUCAGUUUGGGAAGUUGAAGAAGUUCUGGAGAUAAUGAUGGUGGUGACAGGUGCACACCAACAUGAAUGUAUCAGGGACAGCUUUGGUUUGGGAAGCUGAAGAAGUUCUGGAGAUGAUGAUGGUGGUGACAGGUGCACACCAACGUGAAUGUAUCAGGGACAGCUUCGGUUUGGGAAGCUGAAGAAGUUCUGGAGAUGAUGAUGGUGGUGACAGGUGCACAGCAAUGUGAAUGUAUCUAAUGGCACUAAACUGUGCACUUUAAAACUGCAUGCAUUUACAAUGGUAAAUUUUAUGUUAUGCGCAUUCCACUGUAGUGAAAAAGAGUUAACUUCACCUGAAAUGAAUUCGUGUGGUAACCAUUGG